UACGGAGGGUGCAAGCGUUAUCCGGAUUCACUGGGUUUAAAGGGUGCGUAGGCGGCGUGGUAAGUCAGAUGUGAAAUCCCGGGGCUCAACCCCCGGAACUGCAUCCGAUACUGCCAUGCUAGAGGAUUGGAGAGGUAGCUGGAAUUCUUGGUGUAGCAGUGAAAAUGCGUAGAGAUCAAGAGGAACACUCGUGGCGAAAAGCGAGCUACUGGACAAUUCCUGACGCUGAGGCUCGAAGGCUAGGGGUAGCGAAAAGGGGAUUAGAAAACCC
RNAcentral lists this ribosomal RNA (271 nucleotides) under uncultured bacterium. RNAcentral's name for it is "partial 16S ribosomal RNA". It matches the Rfam family "Bacterial small subunit ribosomal RNA", at positions 524 to 788 of the family's 1533-position model. The record is from RNAcentral.